CUUCAGCGAACCGAGCCACAGUGGACGGUCGGCGGGCCGGUCCUGGCCGUAGGCGGCGAGAACGGCCCCCGCCUC
This is a non-coding RNA of Streptomyces clavuligerus, 75 nucleotides long. It matches the Rfam family "ASpks TB sRNA". Lineage: Bacteria; Bacillati; Actinomycetota; Actinomycetes; Kitasatosporales; Streptomycetaceae. The record is from Rfam.